UACGAACUGUGCGAACGUUAUUCGGAAUCACUGGGCUUACAGGGUGUGUAGGCGGUUUGUUAAGCAGGGUGUGAAAUCCUCCGGCUCAACCGGGGAACUGCGCUCUGGACUGGCAGACUUGAGUGCGCUAGGGGUGUGUGGAACUUCCAGUGGAGCGGUGAAAUGUGUUGAUAUUGGAAGGAACACCGGUGGCGAAAGCGACACACUGGGGCGUAACUGACGCUGAGACACGAAAGCCAGGGGAGCGAAC
RNAcentral lists this ribosomal RNA (250 nucleotides) under uncultured bacterium. RNAcentral describes it as "partial 16S ribosomal RNA". It matches the Rfam family "Bacterial small subunit ribosomal RNA", at positions 524 to 773 of the family's 1533-position model. The record is from RNAcentral.